Molecule: ribosomal RNA, 120 nt
Filed under: Ovis aries (sheep)
Lineage: Eukaryota; Metazoa; Chordata; Mammalia; Artiodactyla; Bovidae
Source: RNAcentral
GUCUACAACCAUACCACCACUGAACAUGCCCAAUCUCGUCUGAUCUCAAGAAGCUAAGCAGGGUCGGGACUGGUUAGUAAUUGGAUGAGAGACCCCUUGGGAAUUCGGGUGCUGUCAUCU